AUCGUUCUCGGCCUUUUGGCUAAGAUCAAAGUGAGAAUCUGUUCCCAAGCCUUAAAAUUCUGAACUCCCUCCAUGGGGGGAAAUCGUAAAUUAAAACUGAUUUUGGAAAAGGGGGUGGGUGCCCGGGGGCGGCUCCGCCCUCACCAAGGGUUGACCCCCGGUUUGCAGUACUUCCCGGGAAUGGCCCACCACUA
Molecule: small nuclear RNA, 194 nt
Organism: Gigantopelta aegis
Lineage: Eukaryota; Metazoa; Mollusca; Gastropoda; Neomphalida; Peltospiridae
Product: U2 spliceosomal RNA
Exons: 1
Source: RefSeq, a predicted model, not a curated record